Non-coding RNA from Gossypium raimondii (Peruvian cotton), 87 nucleotides. Lineage: Eukaryota; Viridiplantae; Streptophyta; Magnoliopsida; Malvales; Malvaceae. The record is from Rfam.
CUUGAGGAAGCGUUUUGCCUACGUGGACAAAAAUUGCUCCCUUAAGGGCGCGCUUUAUGUCCAAGUAGGCAAAACGCUUCCUCAAGG